This 483-nucleotide ribosomal RNA is filed under the name Ovis aries (sheep). RNAcentral's name for it is "partial large subunit ribosomal RNA". The stretch from base 232 to 483 matches the Rfam family "Archaeal large subunit ribosomal RNA", at positions 1787 to 2140 of the family's 2987-position model. Lineage: Eukaryota; Metazoa; Chordata; Mammalia; Artiodactyla; Bovidae. The record is from RNAcentral.
UAUAUUAUUAAUCCCAGAUAACAUUAGCCAACUCCUAGAUUUAAUACUGGACUAUUCUAUUACUAAAUAGAAGCAAUAAGGUUAAUAUGAGUAACAAGAAAUAUUUUCUCCUCGCACAAGUUUAAGUCAGUAACUGAUAAAACCCUGACCGUUAACAGUAAAUAAAAAUAACCCAACAAUAAAUGAUUUAUUACUUAUACUGUUAACCCAACACAGGAGUGCACCCAGGAAAGAUUCAAAGAAGUAAAAGGAACUCGGCAAACACUAAACCCCGCCUGUUUACCAAAAACAUCACCUCCAGCAUCCCUAGUAUUGGAGGCACUGCCUGCCCAGUGACUAAACGUUAAACGGCCGCGGUAUUCUGACCGUGCAAAGGUAGCAUAAUCAUUUGUUCUCUAAAUAAGGACUUGUAUGAAUGGCCACACGAGGGUUUUACUGUCUCUUACUUCCAAUCAGUGAAAUUGACCUCCCCGUGAAGAGGCG